GACGAACGCUGGCGGCGUGCUUAACACAUGCAAGUCGAACGGAAAGGCGCUGCUUUUGUGGGGUUCUCGAGUGGCGAACGGGUGAGUAACACGUGAGUAACCUGCCCUUGUCUUUGUGAUAACUUCAGGAAACUGGGGCUAAUACCGGAUAGGAGCUCCUGCUGCAUGGUGUGGGUUGGAAAGUUUCGGCGGUUGGGGAUCGACUCGCGGCUUAUCAGCUUGUUGGUGGGGUAGUGGCUUACCAAGGCUUUGACGGGUAGCCGGCCUGAGAGGGUGACCGGCCACAUUGGGCCUGAGAGACGGACCAGACUCCUACGGGAGGCAGCAGUGGGGAGUAUUGCACAAUGGGCGGAAGCCUGAUGCAGCAACGCCGCGUGCGGGAUGACGGCCUUCGGGUUAUAAACCGCUUUCGCCUGUGACGAAGCGUGAGUGACGGUAAUGGGUAAGGAAGCACCGGCUAACUACGUG
RNAcentral lists this ribosomal RNA (468 nucleotides) under uncultured bacterium. RNAcentral describes it as "partial 16S ribosomal RNA". It matches the Rfam family "Bacterial small subunit ribosomal RNA", at positions 28 to 507 of the family's 1533-position model. The record is from RNAcentral.